CACACCCCCUAUCUUGGCAGUGAGCGAAGAAAACGUUUUUGCAAACUGGAAGGCAAACUGGGGGCAAGCAUUGCAGAGAUACGCGUCUCCACACCACGCAGGGCGCUUGGUGCGCAGCAGAGUGGUUCAGUCACACACACACACGUAAUCUUUCUCAGGUCUUCUCUGUUGUAAGUUGUCUACAGAUAUUGAGAGAGGUUCCCUGUGCUGUACAGUAAGUCCUUGUUGUUUAUCUAUUCUGGCUGCAGGGUGCUGGGUGCUGGGUGCUAGCUGCUGGCUGCAGGGUGCUAGGUACUGGGUGCAGUGUGCUGAGUGAUGGCUGCAGGGUGCUGAGUACUGGCUACUGAGUCCUGGGUGAUGGCUUCAGGGUGCUGGGUGCUGGGGUACUAGGUGAUGGCUGCAGGGUGCUGGGUGCUGAAUGCUGGGUGCUGGGUGCUGAGUGCUGAUUGCUGGCUGCAGGGUGCUGGGUGAUGAGUGCUGGGUACUGGGGUGCUGUGUGCUGAGUUGCUGGGUGCCGGCUGCAGGGUGCUGGGUGCUGGCAGCAGCAGAAACAGUCGAAGCAGCUGCUCCCGAGGUGCCCCUCUCCUUGCCUGGAGCUGCAGGCCCUCAGAGCCGGUGGGGGUGAGGUGGGACGUGCCCACUGGGCUGAGCGUGGGUCAGGUGUGUGUCCUGAAGCAGGAGCCAGAGAAGGAGGCAAGGAGGCCCUGCCUUGGGUCAGUGUGCCCAGCACCACGGGGAACAGAAGCCUCCCCAGCGAGGAAGCUCGACGGGACCGGAGGCUGGAGGCAGACAGACAGCACGCAGACCCUCAUUUCAGCGAGAGUCCGCGCCACCGGCCUCGCGUCCGUCCCCUCCAGGGCCUCGGUGCGACCUGUGGGCCUGCCUGUCUCUGUCUCGCCCAACCCUGAGCCUGUGCACUGGAACUUCCCCAUCCGAAGAGCCAGAGGAAACAGAAGGUCCACGGUGAUUACCGCGUUACCACCACGCCCGCCCAGGCCCUCGAGUCCCGGGCUGUUUGUUCCAAGAGCGAUGUUGGAACCAGUUUGCGAGAAGUGACGUCUGAACGAGCUUGCCCAACCCUGCGUUCUGCAGAUAAGGACAGGGGCUCCGAACGCGUCCUGGGUCACAGGGUCGGAACCGCCCUGCACCCCCCAAUGCUACACGCUUCUGUCACCUCAAAGCUUGGAUCACAUUUUAACUGUGCAUUUCCCAUCAUGUUUUAUGUAUCUGCAAACAUUUUACACUUGAUUUGAUCAUUUCUGACUUUUCUUUUUUUGCUCACAACUUCUAAGAUGCUUUUUCUUUAUCUUCGGCUUUCUUUGGUUUCUCUCUGAUUUGUCUAAACGUGGACUUCAUUUUCCCGCAGGGCCCUGCACCUUCCAAGGAAAGCGGACCUUGGUGAUCAGCUUGGGUGUUUAGCCGAUGAGAUGGCCCAGCCAGGGGUGGAAGGCAUGGCUUGAGCAGACAGUGAGGGGGGAGAGAGGGGAAACUGAGGCAGGAACUGUCGGGGGAAAGGCGUGCCAAGGGUUCCCAGGAGGCUCCAGAAGCUGGAAGAGGCUUCAGAGGGAGCAGACCCUGCUGACCCCUUUCUUUUAGGCGUCCAGCCUCGACCAGGCCCACAAGUCUUUGCCCGACUCUCUGCCCCAGUGUGUUCCUGCCGGUUCUCCGUCCUGGGCUCCAGUCUCCACGUCUGCCGGGUUGGCUCUGUCUGCAAA
Long non-coding RNA from Camelus dromedarius (Arabian camel), 1715 nucleotides. RefSeq lists it as uncharacterized. NCBI's taxonomy places the organism in Eukaryota, Metazoa, Chordata, Mammalia, Artiodactyla, Camelidae. The record is from RefSeq and is a predicted model, not a curated record. The transcript is spliced from 3 exons.